GACGAACGCUGGCGGCGUGCUUAACACAUGCAAGUCGAACGGUGAAGCCUUUCGGGGUGGAUCAGUGGCGAACGGGUGAGUAACACGUGGGCAAUCUGCCCUGCAUUCUGGGACAAGCCUUGGAAACGAGGUCUAAUACCGGAUACGACGCAUCUCCGCAUGGGGUGUGCGUGGAAAGCUUUGGCGAUGCAGGAUGAGCCCGCGGCCUAUCAGCUUGUUGGUGGGGUGAUGGCCUACCAAGGCGACGACGGGUAGCCGG
Molecule: ribosomal RNA, 259 nt
Filed under: uncultured bacterium
Lineage: Bacteria
Description: partial 16S ribosomal RNA
Rfam family: Bacterial small subunit ribosomal RNA
Source: RNAcentral